Pipistrellus kuhlii (Kuhl's pipistrelle) is the source of this 106-nucleotide small nuclear RNA. The record is from RefSeq and is a predicted model, not a curated record. Lineage: Eukaryota; Metazoa; Chordata; Mammalia; Chiroptera; Vespertilionidae.
UUGGGCCCACUCCCGCAGCACAGACUACGUUGGGACGACACAGAGAAGAUCAGCAUGGCCUUUGCUCAGGGAUGACAUGCAAAUUCAUGAAACAUUCUAUGCUUUU